UGAUGAUAAAAAACAUUAAUAACGACAUCGAAAUAAAUAAAACAUUUGAUGAACCGUGAUAUUUAUAAUGAUAGGACUGACAA
This 83-nucleotide small nucleolar RNA is filed under the name Drosophila grimshawi. RNAcentral describes it as "snoRNA:GH25808". The record is from RNAcentral. Lineage: Eukaryota; Metazoa; Arthropoda; Insecta; Diptera; Drosophilidae.